RNAcentral lists this microRNA (21 nucleotides) under Pan troglodytes (chimpanzee). Its description in RNAcentral is "ptr-miR-1267". The record is from miRBase by way of RNAcentral. Lineage: Eukaryota; Metazoa; Chordata; Mammalia; Primates; Hominidae. RNAcentral also lists the same sequence under 1 other name.
CCUGUUGAAGUGUAAUCCCCA